This 502-nucleotide ribosomal RNA is filed under the name uncultured bacterium. Its description in RNAcentral is "partial 16S ribosomal RNA". It matches the Rfam family "Bacterial small subunit ribosomal RNA", at positions 29 to 507 of the family's 1533-position model. The record is from RNAcentral.
AGCGAACGCUGGCGGCGUGCCUAACACAUGCAAGUCGAACGUCAAAGGGAGCAAUCCCAAGUAAAGUGGCGUACGGGUGAGUAACACGUAGGUAAUCUACCCCAUAAUCUGGAAUAACCGGCCGAAAGGCUUGCUAAUACUGGAUAGAGCGACGGAAUCCGUAAUUGGGUUUUUCGGGAAAGGGAGCCUGUAAAAAGGCCUUCGUUCUGGGAUGCGCCUGCGUCCCAUCAGCUAGUUGGUGAGGUAAAAGCUUACCAAGGCAAUGACGGGUAACUGGUCUGAGAGGAAGAUCCGCCCAAAUGGAACUGAAAAACGGGCCAGACUCCUAAGGGAGGCAGCCGGGGGGAAUCUUGCGAAAUGGACGAAAGUCUGAAGCAACAACGCCGCGUGAGGGAAGAAGGGCUUCGGGUUGGAAAGCUCUGUCGAGUGGGAAGAAAAUGCUUGGAGUUCACAGCUCCAGGAACUGACGGUACCACUAAAGGAAGCACCGGCUAACUCCGUG